UCCCCUUCCCCCAAUUCCGAGAAAUUAUACUUUUGCAUAUACAGAAAUACUAGUACUAUACUGCAAGGGUGCACCGGUUGCCUUCAGCUUUUAUUUUUUCCAAUUGCUCUUCCUUGAACUUGAUUUUGCUUUGUGGGUUUUCUUGUUUUUUUGCUCUUUAUUCUUGUUUGGAUGUUUUAUAUUUUGGUAGGUUUAUGAAUUGUUAUAGUGAUGUAGUAGUUCUUUGUGUGUUGAAACGGGGAGUUGUUUCUUGAUUUUCUUAAAGAAUGGAUUUUUAUGACUAAUCAUUGAUGCAUAGCUUCAUUGGUUGAUUUGUACUAUCUACUAUGUUCUAAUUAUGUGCCUUUGGUAGUAUUUGAUUUGUCUACCUGGGGCAACAGUGAUACUUGAAUCUUCAUUAAGAUGAUUGAUAUGUAUAUAUGUCUACAUAAACUUUUCAUGUAACCCCAGAUUCUGUAGCAUUGACAUGUUUGAACUUCAAUUUUGCAGAUGUCAAUGAACAUUCUGGUCAGAUACCACUUGGAUGCUUCAAUUCCAUGUUUAAUUUCAGCGGCUCUUGGCAACUUGAUGCAGCAACUGCGAAGUCACUUGCAUGUACCAUCCCAUCUCGUUAUUCAGUAUCAAACUAGUGAAAGACGAGUUAAGUUUGCGUAAUGAAAUAAAAUGUGCCGUUCCAUAUUCUUGGGAUCCUGCAUCCUUGGCAAGUUUUAUAGAAAAUUACGGAACCCACAUUGUGACCUCAGUAACAAUUGGUGGAAGGGAUGUUGUCUAUGUUAGACAGCACCAAUUAUCACCCUUAUCCUUGUCAGAUAUUGGAGAUCAGAGGUUCUCAGUACAAAUGCUGGCACUCUAAAAUACAAGGACAAGGAUGUAAUGGUUAUUUUCAAAAGGAGAGGGGGAGAUGACCUUGAACAGGGCAAGGACUGUAGAAGGGGCCCCUGAUGUGAUCAACAUGACAUUUAUGCCUAUCGUCUCUUUGCUUGAAGGAGUGUCUAGGAUAAAACAUUUGGCUCUUGCUAUUGAGUUAUACUUGGAGUGUAAGGAUUCGAACUUUUGUUAUUAUGCCAUUAGUCCUGUUUUAUAUUCUUCUAAAUCCUCUGUAUUCCAUAGAAAUAUGAUUUAAGGUUGAAGAACCACUUUUUGUUACUUUGAAGUUUGCUAUCUGGAAACUCGAAAGGUUAUGAAUAUUGCUCGCACCCAUUCAUUAGGGUUUUCAGAGAACAAGAAAAAUGAUCCAAUAUUCGUAUACAGAAGUCACUAUAACGUACAUGGUUGAAGCAAGAUUGUAUUGAUGCUCGAGCGCAAAAUGGAGAUUCCGGUUGUAACGGCCG
RNA transcript from Salvia splendens (bonfire salvia), 1331 nucleotides. RefSeq lists it as uncharacterized. Lineage: Eukaryota; Viridiplantae; Streptophyta; Magnoliopsida; Lamiales; Lamiaceae. The transcript is spliced from 3 exons. The record is from RefSeq and is a predicted model, not a curated record.